GUGGUAUAGGGAGCUUACACUCCCAACCCACUGUGACCUUACCUCAGUUGCCUCGGCGGGAACGCCCCGGCCGCCUGCCCCCGCGCCGGCGCCGGACCCAGGCGCCCGCCGCAGGGACCCCAAACUCUCUUGCAUUACGCCCAGCGGGCGGAAUUUCUUCUCUGAGUUGCACAAGCAAAAACAAAUGAAUCAAAACUUUCAACAACGGAUCUCUUGGUUCUGGCAUCGAUGAAGAACGCAGCGAAAUGCGAUAAGUAAUGUGAAUUGCAGAAUUCAGUGAAUCAUCGAAUCUUUGAACGCACAUUGCGCCCGCCAGCAUUCUGGCGGGCAUGCCUGUUCGAGCGUCAUUUCAACCCUCGAGCCCCCCCGGGGGCCUCGGUGUUGGGGGACGGCACACCAGCCGCCCCCGAAAUGCAGUGGCGACCCCGCCGCAGCCUCCCCUGCGUAGUAGCACACACCUCGCACCGGAGCGCGGAGGCGGUCACGCCGUAAAACGCCCAACUUUCUUAGAGUUGACCUCGGAUCAGGUAGGAAUACCCGCUGAACUUAAGCAUAUCAAAAGUCCGGAGGAA
This 572-nucleotide ribosomal RNA is filed under the name Purpureocillium lilacinum. RNAcentral's name for it is "eukaryotic LSU rRNA". The stretch from base 194 to 347 matches the Rfam family "5.8S ribosomal RNA". The record is from RNAcentral. Lineage: Eukaryota; Fungi; Ascomycota; Sordariomycetes; Hypocreales; Ophiocordycipitaceae.